Oreochromis aureus is the source of this 580-nucleotide long non-coding RNA. Lineage: Eukaryota; Metazoa; Chordata; Actinopteri; Cichliformes; Cichlidae. The record is from Ensembl.
AUUCAGUCUCAGUGAACACUGUUAACCUUUAACUCUCAAUCAAAUCAAACUAACAUUGUGUUUCUUGUUCACAGACCCUCCCACUUCCCCGGCGAGCAGUCUCUGGCCCACUCAGUUAUAUCAGCUAACCUCGCACUUUGCUUUGUAUUUCUCUCUACAUUUUUCCUUGUUGUGCCAGUGUGACAGAAGAAGAUGCAAGGCUGUUCCCGUCGGCACUGUGGAUAAAACAGUUGACUCUGCGCUUGUGAGCACAGUCAGCGUGCUGGCUGAAAUCAAGACCGCUUCCCUUGCAUGACUGUGAGUGGAAGGAUAAGCUUUUCCUUGGGAGACACAGAGGUGCUCCCAAGCCAGCAAAAUCUCUCACUUGGGCAGCACAGUGGUGCAGUGGUUAGCGCUGUCUCCUCACAGCAAGGUUAGUGAUUUGAAUCUCUUAUGACAUGCAUGUUAGGUUAAAUGGUGAUUCUAAAUUGGACAUCGAUGCGAGGGAAACAAAAUAAUGUAUGACUGUAUCGUGAAAAUGUGACUUGUAGUCUAAAGUGAGUCAGUCUGGUCAAUAAAACUAGUAAAGUGUAAAGUAAAU